This 400-nucleotide ribosomal RNA is filed under the name uncultured bacterium. Its description in RNAcentral is "bacterial SSU rRNA". It matches the Rfam family "Bacterial small subunit ribosomal RNA", at positions 356 to 773 of the family's 1533-position model. The record is from RNAcentral.
GGGGAAUAUUGGACAAUGGGGGAAACCCUGAUCCAGCCAUGCCGCGUGAGUGAUGAAGGCCUUAGGGUUGUAAAGCUCUUUUGUCAGGGAAGAUGAUGACGGUACCUGAAGAAUAAGCACCGGCUAACUUCGUGCCAGCAGCCGCGGUAAUACGAAGGGUGCUAGCGUUGUUCGGAAUCACUGGGCGUAAAGCGCGCGUAGGCGGCUUUUCAAGUCAGAGGUGAAAUCCCCAGGCUCAACCUGGGAACUGCCUUUGAAACUGUAAAGCUAGAGUGUUGGAGGGGAUAGCGGAAUUGCUAAUGUAGAGGUGAAAUUCGUAGAUAUUAGCAGGAACACCGGUGGCGAAGGCGGCUAUCUGGACAACAACUGACGCUGAGGCGCGAAAGCGUGGGGAUCAAAC